UCUCCUGGAAACGGGUGGUAAUGCCGGAUGUUCCACAUGAUCGCAUGUGAUUGUGGGAAAGAUUCUAUCGGCGUGGGAUGGGGUCGCGUCCUAUCAGCUUGUUGGUGAGGUAACGGCUCACCAAGGCUUCGACGGGUAGCCGGCCUGAGAGGGCGACCGGCCACAUUGGGACUGAGAUACGGCCCAGACUCCUACGGGAGGCAGCAGUGGGGAAUAUUGCACAAUGGGCGCAAGCCUGAUGCAGCGACGCCGCGUGAGGGAUGGAGGCCUUCGGGUUGUAAACCUCUUUUGUUUGGGAGCAAGCCUUCGGGUGAGUGUACCUUUCGAAUAAGCGCCGGCUAACUACGUGCCAGCAGCCGCGGUAAUACGUAGGGCGCAAGCGUUAUCCGGAUUUAUUGGGCGUAAAGGGCUCGUAGGCGGCUCGUCGCGUCCGGUGUGAAAGUCCAUCGCUUAACGGUGGAUCUGCGCCGGGUACGGGCGGGCUGGAGUGCGGUAGGGGAGACUGGAAUUCCCGGUGUAACGGUGGAAUGUGUAGAUAU
This 539-nucleotide ribosomal RNA is filed under the name Bifidobacterium bifidum. RNAcentral describes it as "bacterial SSU rRNA". It matches the Rfam family "Bacterial small subunit ribosomal RNA", at positions 146 to 697 of the family's 1533-position model. Lineage: Bacteria; Bacillati; Actinomycetota; Actinomycetes; Bifidobacteriales; Bifidobacteriaceae. The record is from RNAcentral.